Triticum aestivum (bread wheat) is the source of this 6421-nucleotide long non-coding RNA. RefSeq lists it as uncharacterized. Lineage: Eukaryota; Viridiplantae; Streptophyta; Magnoliopsida; Poales; Poaceae. The transcript has 2 exons. The record is from RefSeq and is a predicted model, not a curated record.
GCCCACCUCACAGCCUCGCACAUGUCGCUUCUCCCUGCCGCCUCCUCUCCUCACCACGGCUCGCCCUCGGCAUCCUCUCCCCACCACGGCUCGCCCCGCAGCCUCCACCUCCGAUACGACCUCGCGCUGCCACCAACGCUUCCGGUCUCCCCUGUAUCGACACUGCCGCCGGUGUCCAACCUCAGCGACGACGCCAGCCUGCCCGACGCAGCUCCUGGCCGCGGCGGCCUAGAACACCGAGGUAUAGAAGCCUGCUCCGGCUGCCAAGCUGCCGCCCAACCUGCUCUGGGGGUUCCAUAUGAUACAAGACUCAAAGGUCUAGAUGAUGACAGAGGAACCAAAGGUCUAACACAGGAUGCUUCAAAGUCUCAUUUUAAAAGGUCAACAGGUUGAUGUUCUUUUUCAUAUCUCAUCUUGUCGGUCUGAUAUUUGAAAUAUCACAGAAUUAUUGUUCAGAUGCACCUGUUAUCUAAAUUAGUUCCUGCUGACACAUUCAGGCAGUACAAGUUUCACAAUAAAUCUAAUUCCACACAUACAACCAAUCUGUAGAUUAAUUUGGCACUGACGUUCGAUUAAGUUGAUUCCAGUGUAACAAUGAAAAACUUCUGGAGAACUCAUACCUUACGGCUAUUAUAAAUUUAGGUCAUUACUUCAGAUGAUAUAAUGAGAGAGAGGUCUAAAUUUAGGUUAUUACUACUUCAUCAGGACCAUAUACUAUUUAACAGUAAUACUACUUUUUAGAAGAUAAUUUGUCGUGCUUCUAGUGAACUGGCAACCCCGGCUAAAAUUUGAGGUCUGUUAAUUUAAGACAUACAAAUAAUUGAACAUGUUAAACAAAAUAAUCAGAAGCAAAGGUUCGGCGGCUCAUUGUAUCAACCAAUCCCGAAUUACUGGCUAAAGGUUCUAGAAUUUACAUUUUACAGAAGUAGUAAAAAAACAUAAUUUUUGUUUUAAAUUGAGUUGUGUCUGUAACACAAUGAUAUUCAGAGGACCCAAACUUGGGUGCUUCCAACGCUAUUACACACAAAGUUAAAUGCAUUGGCUUUAGAGAUACCUCGAUAGAUGCCAUUGGGUGGAGAAAUUAUUUUCAACAGGGCAUGAAGAGGAUUGUUUGAUGGUCAACAUUUGCAGGAGUAAGCUUGCUCAAGGAUUAGUUUUUGCCUUUUCUGAACAUGGACUUUGUGGAUGCAGAAGCUGCAUGAAUAGCAUUUAACGUUAAUCACAGAACGGCAGACAAAAUUCUAUAAUGUGCUGAAAUCUAACAAAAUCAAUAUUAAGAGCACUAUGAUUUAGACAACAAUGUUACAGACACAUGGAUUACCCCUUUCAAGCAAUCACAACCACGAAAGCGCACAGUCAAGGCCAGAAAAGGCGGGGUUCUACUUAUUUUAAAUCAUGGUUACCUCUGGCAAGGCUGGGUUUUGCUUACUUUAUUAAAUCAUAGGUACGAAAAUGCACACGGCUGGGUUCUGCUUAUUUUAGUGGCAAUCGCUGUAAAGUGGCUUUCUAGUUGGAUGUCUACAAAAUCAAAUAUCAUUCUAGAAUUAUUUUCUUUUGUUUCAGAUGUCAACUAUCAAGAAUAUAACCUCUGAACUAUCCACCAAGUUGUUCAAAACUUGACUUAGAAACAGAGUAAAGUUCACAUGGACAGUGAUAUUUUAGUCUGGCCACUACAAACCAAGGAAGCCUACUAUAGAAAAGCAAUAUUAAGCAUUUAGAGUAGUAUAUUCUGCUGGUUGAUGCUUUUUGCUAUAUAUUCCACAUUGUUGUAGUAAAACCAAUUUUUUAGAUAUAUUACUUGCUGUCGUUUCAGAGGUAGUUGCAGUCCAGCUUAAGCUUUGUAGAGUCAUAGCCUCACAGGUAACUCGGGAUGGUUGUAUUGCAAGCGUAGGAUUAAAAAGGAAACCCCCAGAUAAUAUAUUCAGUGCCAAAAAACAUGACCCUUAGUUGCCAGAGUCAGCUUAAACUCAUUCCAUUGCUUUGAAAAACAUGCAUGCAUGGUACCCUACCCAAUACCAAUUGGCAGGCCAACAUAUAAGAAGAAAUUUGUCUUAAUUGUAUUGCAGAUAUUUAGAGAGGCAUGUACUGAAUUUCAUUUGCACAAAAUAAAUUGUUGUAGAUUGACAAUUGUCAUAGAGAUUUUGUAUAGUCCUUCAUUCAAAUGGCCUAAAACUAACAUAAAAAUGUGGUAAUUCAUUGGCACAAAUGGAUUGCAUACAGUACUCUCAAGACUGCAAUACAAUAGCAAUUGGCAGGCCAACAUUCAGAGAAGCAUGUACUAAACUUAGGUUGUAGAAAUUCAGAGAAGCAUCUGCUAGAUUUAGCAAGUAGAAAUUCAUAGAAGCAUGAGAUGAGGAGCCGAGUCUACCUUUUCCUGGAUGUUGUCUACCUUUUCCUGUUAUAGUAAACGUGCACGUGCAAAUGCACGUAUCUAAAUAAAAUUGAUCCUUAUUCAGUUGUUACGUGGUAUAAAUCUGAACAAGAAAAUCACUAAAUAAUAUAUACUCCCUCCAUAAACUAAUAUAAGCACGUUUAGAUUACUACUUUAGUGAUCUAAAAGCUCUUAUAUUAGUUUACAGAGGGAGUAUCUUUUAUUCAAAGUUGUUGCCUCACCUCAGAAAUGCAAAGCAAGCAAUAUUCUAAUGAUCAUUUACAUGCAAGCCACAUAUUGAUCAAUGCAAAUAGCGCAAAAACAUACUUCAAGCACAGGAAACUUUUUGUAUACACAAUUUUAUGAGGGCUAAGCAAAAUCAUUGAAGUGCUCCUUGCAUAUACAAUAUUAUAAUUUAUAAAUAUAAUUCUAUAAUUUCUAGACUUACAAUAAAUAAGGAAAUCCUACUACUAUAGAGGUCUUGUUUGAAGAUGACACCAUUCAAAUAUGUUCACACAGAUUAUUUUGUUACGGGAAUAUGUUCACAUGGUUCACAUCAAACAUCCGUAACGAACUCUUUAUAUUAAUAUUUCAAAUGACUUACAUAACUUCCACUAUACAUUAAAAAACUGAAAACACGGCUAUGCCUAUAUGGUCUAUGCCUAUAUGAUUGGAUUAUAGUUCCAUGCGCGACUUGAUUACGUUGUUUGAUGCUCCAUCCAGAUGUAACUCUUCCAUAUAACAAAACAUACUUUGUAUCACUCUUCACAUCUUCUCGUUGAUGGCAAAAACAUGACUAUCGUCACACCUAUGCCACCGCUUCAUAUCCAAACGCAAGAUGAAAUGAAUGGAAGAUGGUAAGUACCUGUCAGCAUCUUCCUUACUCCCAAGAUUAUGCUUCCUCCUCUCUUUCCUUCCUCUCCCGAUUCUUUUUGUCAAACGAACAACAUGAAUUGAAAAUCAACCAAGCAAAUCAGAAAUGAGAAACAAAAUAUGAAAACAUGAGUAAACCUUAUCUCACUUCAAUGCAAAUCACAGAUGAUCAUGGGCGCCCUGCCACUGAUUAUGUUAAUACUUGUUGGAAAGGUCAACCUGUACACCAUGUAAAAUUACCUACAAGGUUCAGCUCUGGUGGUUCUGCAAGCAAAUAUCUUGUCUGGAUAUGAUAGUUCUAGGGACAAACCUGAAAACUUUAUUGUAUGCCCCUAUGCACUGUGAGGCCUUGUAGUUUUAGCUCGCCCCAACAGUAUGGAUAUGAAAAUUAGGUAUCAACAUGAAAAUAUGUAAGAUGAUUCUACAUAUCUUUGUAGGUGGAGAAGAAAUUACAAUUAGUAGUUGUUGCAAGUAUAUAUGUAUUGAAUAAUUAUACAUACAAUAUGAUAUAUCAAUCCAGUAAAAGCAGCGACAAGUCUAUCCAUAUUGCCGCAUUGUACAAAUACUAAGAUAUUUGGUCAAUAUAACACACCGAUUCACAAAACCAAGUCCCCAAAACCGAGGUCAUCCUUCUGCAUAUUUGCACGACAACACAUUGUAGUCAAACAUAUGGAAGAAUUAUUUGCAUUCCGAAAUCAUACUAUUUGAAUCUGUUAAUCUGAAGAAAUGUAGACCUUUUUAAUCUAAUUCAAUCAUCAAAAGCAUAUUGGUUCAGAAAUAGGAGUUAAUCUGAAGCAUGUGUCUUGUUCUUAACUUCUCCUCUCUUGCUGCUGCUCUCUCCUCCUUCUGUAUGCUCUGUUGACAUCCUCUUUCAGAAACACAUUUAGUAUAGAAGGAAAAACCAAAAAAUACAAAUUUGAAGGUGAACCUAUUUUAUUAAAAGGAAAAAAUUAGCACAGGUCAAAUUUGGUAGGUUUAGAAAAAUAUGCAAUUGAUGCACAUCAUUUUGGGUUGUGCUUAAGAACAACACCAAUAACUACAAUUUAAGAUGUGGCCGACAAUAGAGAAUAGCAACACCUAAAGGCCUAUAAUAUCAUCUAGCUUGGCAUGCUCAUGUAAACUAAAUGAAGCUAUCAUAAUAGUGCCUAUAAUAUAUCUAAAUUUAGUACCAUAAAAUUAGAGAACCAUACGGUUUGAUUUCUCAUAUUUCGUUUCGGAAAAUAGCAGACUCUGUUUUUAAAAAUGACAGUUAGAACGCUCGUUAUGAGAUCACAAUGUGCCUUUUAACAUCGAUCUAAGAAUGCAAGAGCAACUGAACUUGAUCUAUGCUAAGCGUUGUCUGAACCAACUGUACAUGAUUUCUAUGAAACAAAUAAAGACUGUUAUGUUAGGAUAAUCCUCCUACUAUAACAGUUUGACUUACUUCACUUGAUAAACAAAGCACCUGCCUUUGAUUUGGUCUAGUAGGCAUCAAAGCUAUAGUAAUAAUUAGCAAAUUUCUGCAGAAUAAAUAUUUUCUAUAUAUACAUACUUGGCAGAAACAAAGCCAUGUCCUGGUGCUUGUUGAGAAUGACGCCGAGGGAUAACACUGUGGUAGAAAAGGCCUUUUCAGAUGGCAGAAACAAACAUCAGUCAAUGUGUAAAGGGCAUAGACAACAAGAACAGAAACAAAAACUUUUGAACAACCACAACAAUAAGUCUACUUUUAAGCUCACUCGUCUAGCUAUAAGCAACCAAACUUCACUAACUCUGACUUUAAAACAUCAAACUUAGGGGGUUACAAAAACAUCGGCGGCCUCACGGUGAUGACGACCACCCGAUUAAAUUGAAACUACCGACAAUACACCUGUAAUCCUCCGCUGCAUUGAGCAUCAGCCAUCGUAAGAUUGAUUCCUUAAUUGAUCUAAAAAUAGUUGCUUGGAUUGAUGUACUAUUAGAACAGAUUGGAAUAUGGAGAAGAAAGAGACCGGAGUUAGGAGAAGAAGCAGGGUCAGAGCUUGAUGAAGCAGGGCCGUUUACCUGGUGGGAGGCGAGGCUAGCAAUGGUGGGGCUGCGAUUGCGUCCGAGUGCACAAAGCGGAGGCCGUAGUUAGAGCCCAAGUGGAAGACGGGGAAGAAGUACUGCAGUUCCACGGGCGCGGCGGGGCGGCUCCGGUGGCUGGGGAGGCGACGACCCGCGGCGGGACAGCUCCCGCGGCGGGGGCGUGCUCCCGUGGCUGGGGAGGCAGCGACCCGCGGCGGGGGCGGGCUCCCGCGGCUGGGGAGGCGGCGAACGGCGCGGCGGGGGCGGGCUCCCGGCGACCUGCGGGGCUUCCCGUGGCUCCGGCGGCGCGAGGCGGCGGUGAGGGGCGCGGCUUCCCGUGGCUCGGCGCGAGGCCGUGGGAGGCGAACGGCGCGGGAGGAGGAGGAGGUCGUGCGGGAGGAGAAGGUGGAGGUCGUGCGGGCGACCGGUUUUGUUAGUGCGGGACAGAUUAGCGAUAGAUUGAUUGUAGUGGCUUAAUGCGUGGUUGGUAGAGUUAAAUACAAAAUGAUUAAGGGCCAUUAGAUCUUGAUGAUGGAUGGGUGGGAUUGUUUGGAUCUGCCCCUCUUUUUUUUUUUAUAGUGGUAGUAGAUAAGUUUCUCUGCACCGCUAGUUAACACCUACUAUAGUAGUAGUAGACUGCUGUCGAGAGAUAGAGUUAUGUGCAGGCAUCCCUUGAUUAGUGGCUUUUGCAACUUUUGAUACACCGAUUUGUAAUUUAAUACGUUAGUAGCGGCAAUGAUUUGAUAAUAUACUGGUGGGAGUUAUUCUGAAAGGAUUCAUCUACAGAAAUGAUUCUAGGAAUGUGCACACGUCAAACACCUAGCUAUCUAGACUUGUAGUAGCCAUGCAUAUUAGCACACAUGACCAGAAUAUUACCGAGUUAUUAUUAUUUUCUGUGAUGUGAUAUGGUUGGUACGAGAAUAUGCAUAUGCUUGUUUUUUCAAAAAGGCCGGCCAAUUUGAAUGGAGAACAGAAGAAUAUAGACUGAAGUGUCGAUCGGCGGAUGGAAGCUGGGGAGAUAUAUCAGUAAGCAGCAUGGUUUAACCAUAGCCAACUGUUGGCUGUCAUCUAUAGCCAACCUUAUAUUCAACAUGUAUAACAAUUAGCUAUAAGUAUGUACUAUUUUAUUAAUUCAUGGCUCACUUUUCACUCUCA